GACGAACGCUGGCGGCGUGCUUAACACAUGCAAGUCGAACGGAAAGGCCCUGCUUGCCGGGUACUCGAGUGGCGAACGGGUGAGUAACACGUGGGUGAUCUGCCCUGCACUUCGGGAUAAGCCUGGUAAACUGGGUCUAAUACCGGAUAGGAGCCAUUUUUAGUGUGAUGGUUGGAAAGUUUUUUCGGUGUAGGAUGAGCUCGCGGCCUAUCAGCUUGUUGGUGGGGUAAUGGCCUACCAAGGCGGCGACGGGUAGCCGGCCUGAGAGGGUGGACGGCCACAUUGGGACUGAGAUACGGCCCAGACUCCUACGGGAGGCAGCAGUGGGGAAUAUUGCACAAUGGGCGCAAGCCUGAUGCAGCGACGCCGCGUGGGGGAUGACGGCCUUCGGGUUGUAAACUCCUUUCGCUAGGGACGAAGCUUUUUGUGACGGUACCUAGAUAAGAAGCACCGGCUAACUACGU
Molecule: ribosomal RNA, 464 nt
Filed under: uncultured bacterium
Lineage: Bacteria
Description: partial 16S ribosomal RNA
Rfam family: Bacterial small subunit ribosomal RNA
Source: RNAcentral